UACGAAGGGUGCAAACGUUGCUCGGAAUUAUUGGGCGUAAAGCGCACGUAGGCGGCUUUGCAAGUCCGAUGUGAAAGCCCACGGCUUAACCGUGGAAGUGCAUCGGAAACUGCAGAGCUUGAGUACUAAAGAGGAUCGCGGAAUUCCCGGUGUAGAGGUGAAAUUCGUAGAUAUCGGGAGGAACACCAGUGGCGAAGGCGGCGAUCUGGGUAGAUACUGACGCUGAGGUGCGAAAGCGUGGGGAGCAAACAGG
This 253-nucleotide ribosomal RNA is filed under the name uncultured bacterium. Its description in RNAcentral is "partial 16S ribosomal RNA". It matches the Rfam family "Bacterial small subunit ribosomal RNA", at positions 524 to 776 of the family's 1533-position model. The record is from RNAcentral.